This 481-nucleotide ribosomal RNA is filed under the name Alternaria sp. GZUCCZY0804. RNAcentral describes it as "eukaryotic LSU rRNA". The stretch from base 120 to 273 matches the Rfam family "5.8S ribosomal RNA". The record is from RNAcentral. Lineage: Eukaryota; Fungi; Ascomycota; Dothideomycetes; Pleosporales; Pleosporaceae.
UGAAUUAUUCACCCUUGUCUUUUGCGUACUUCUUGUUUCCUUGGUGGGUUCGCCCACCACUAGGACAAACAUAAACCUUUUGUAAUUGCAAUCAGCGUCAGUAACAAAUUAAUAAUUACAACUUUCAACAACGGAUCUCUUGGUUCUGGCAUCGAUGAAGAACGCAGCGAAAUGCGAUAAGUAGUGUGAAUUGCAGAAUUCAGUGAAUCAUCGAAUCUUUGAACGCACAUUGCGCCCUUUGGUAUUCCAAAGGGCAUGCCUGUUCGAGCGUCAUUUGUACCCUCAAGCUUUGCUUGGUGUUGGGCGUCUUGUCUCUAGCUUUGCUGGAGACUCGCCUUAAAGUAAUUGGCAGCCGGCCUACUGGUUUCGGAGCGCAGCACAAGUCGCACUCUCUAUCAGCAAAGGUCUAGCAUCCAUUAAGCCUUUUUUUUCAACUUUUGACCUCGGAUCAGGUAGGGAUACCCGCUGAACUUAAGCAUAU